UGAAUACGAGACGCUAAGGCGUCGAAGUAGUGUAUGUCAUACUUCCAAGAAAAGCUUGCACUGUCAUAAGUAAAAAAUGCCUGUACCAUAACCGACACAGGUGGGUAGGUAGAGUAUACUAAGGGGCGCGAGAUAACUCUCUCUAAGGAACUCGGCAAAAUAACUCCGUAACUUCGGGAGAAGGAGUACCUUAUUCUAUAAGGUUGCAAUAACAAGAUCCAAGCAACUGUUUAUCAAAAACACAGGUCUCCGCUAAGUCGUAAGACGAUGUAUGGGGGCUGACGCCUGCCCAGUGCCAGAAGGUUAAAGAAGUCGGUUAGCAUUAGCGAAGCUGGUAACUGAAGCCCUGGUGAACGGCGGCCGUAACAAUAACGGUCCUAAGGUAGCGAAAUUCCUUGUCGGGUAAGUUCCGACCCGCACGAAAGGCGUAAUGAUUUGGAUACUGUCUCGGAGAGGGGCUCGGUGAAAUAGACUUGUCUGUGAAGAUGCGGACUACCUGCACCAGGACAGAAAGACCCUAUGAAGCUUUACUGUAACUUGAAAUUGAAAUUGGACUUUAUUCGCGCAGUAUAGGUGGGAGGUGUUGAUUAUAAUCUUGCGGGAUUAUUGGAGCCAUCAGUGAGAUACCACUCUUGUAAUGUUAGAUUUCUAACUUUGAAUCAUUAUCUGGUCAAAGGACAGUUUCAGGCGGGCAGUUUGACUGGGGCGGUCGCCUCCCAAACGGUAACGGAGGCGUACAAAGGCUUCCUCUGAACGGGUAGAAAUCGUAUCUAGAGUGUAAAGGCAUAAGGAAGCUUGACUGUGAGACCUACAAGUCGAACAGGGACGAAAGUCGGUCUUAGUGAUCUGACGGUACUGAGUGGAAAGGCCGUCACUCAACGGAUAAAAGUUACUCUAAGGAUAACAGGCUGAUCUCCCCCAAGAGUUCACAUCGACGGGGAGGUUUGGCACCUCGAUGUCGGCUCAUCGCAUCCUGGGGCGGUAGUACGUCCCAAGGGUUGGGCUGUUCGCCCAUGAAAGCGGUACGCGAGCUGGGUUCAGAACGUCGUGAGACAGUUCGGUCCAUAUCCGGUGUAGGCGUUAGAAUAUUGAGAGGAGCCUUCUUUAGUACGAGAGGACCGAGAAGGACAUACCUCUGGUGUACCAGUUAUCGUGCCAACGGUAAACGCUGGGUAGCUAUGUAUGGAGUGGAUAACCGCUGAAAGCAUCUAAGUGGGAAGCCCACCUCAAGAUAAG
This 1236-nucleotide ribosomal RNA is filed under the name metagenome. Its description in RNAcentral is "bacterial LSU rRNA". It matches the Rfam family "Bacterial large subunit ribosomal RNA", at positions 1564 to 2808 of the family's 2925-position model. The record is from RNAcentral.